Molecule: long non-coding RNA, 1758 nt
Organism: Herpailurus yagouaroundi (jaguarundi)
Lineage: Eukaryota; Metazoa; Chordata; Mammalia; Carnivora; Felidae
Exons: 2
Source: RefSeq, a predicted model, not a curated record
GGGGCCCUGGCCCACGGCCUGUUGGUACCAGUACAAAGACAGGUGUCCAGAGAUAGGGAAACAACUCAGCGUCACUUGCUGUCCUCUUGCCUUGACCAGGUGUCUUGGAGUUUGGGUGGCAAACGCAUAUCGGAGGCUUCCACGCGGUGCCCAGGACUCACCUGCUCCCAGAAGACAAAGGGCCACGCAGCAGAGAAGCCUGGAGCCCAUGGCAACACUGGGAAGCCAAGAUAUCAUCCAGCUCAGGGGUGGGGGCCCCGGGGGUGAGCAGCCUAAAGCUUUGAACCUCCCAUUUCCCUGAAAGGAGUAUUUGCCUAUGACGUCACCACUCCCACAUCGCCACUCUGGCAACUCUGCAGGGCUGUGCCGAGCCCUGUGGCUUCGAGAAGUUCAUGUGCAGAUCAGAGAGACGGUCACCCAAAUGUCGCACUGAGAGCUAAUCUGGCAAGGGUCGUUUUGCUUACUGUAACUCAUCCUAAUAUGCAAAGGAGAGCUGGGACCUGACCCAGGGCCGGUGGGUAACAAGAUCCACUGGAGCCCCCAGAGAGAGGGGAACAUCUCAGAGUCACUUGCUGUCCACUUGCUUUGAUCAGAUGUCUUGAAGUUUGGGUGGCUCCAGCCUCCACUGGGCCUGUGAGGGAAGGACACAGGGGCUGGGGAACGAACACGAGAGGGAGCCCGAUGGUGCCACGCACUUAGGUGCUGUCACGCUUAGAGGAGAGAUGUCCUACCUGGACAAGGACAAACUUGCUCCCAGGAGACAAAGGUCCGUGUGGCAGAGGAGGCUGCAGCCCACAGCAUGCAGCGGGGAGGGCAGAACUUGACAGGGUUCUCCCCGCUCAGAGUUCUGGGUCUCCGAGAGCUGAAGAUCUGGGCAUCCCUUCUCUGACUGGAGGUUAGGCAGUAAUGUCACUGCUCCAAUGUCAUUAUCCCUCCUGGUUCCCAUGAGCCUCCCUUGCCAGGUCCCUGGCUACGCCGGUCCAGGAACCCUGCUUUGUUCGGCAAAGCCCCUCACAUGAAGGGCAGGGCUGGGACGGUCUAGGCUAGCUGGGGUUAAGCCACAGGCGCGUCCACAGCUCCUCGGCUUUUCCUUUCAGGCGGGUGUUCCUCUACCUGUUCCUGCUAGGGCAAGGAGUCUGCCCCCUCCCAGCACCACACUGCACUUUUUUCCCCUUGCAAGCUCAGAGAGACUCCCUAAUGACUGCCAAGCUGAAGGUUUGGCCCCCUGAUGGGACUGCACAAUCUCAAAUUAGUGUUGAUAGCAUUAAGCCCUGUAGUGGAACAGAGCUCCAAGCAAGGCUUUCCUUAACCCUCCUGGUCCCAGAUAGCUGGCUCCAUGCCCCUGCUCUGCCCAGGCGACUUUUGGCAUUCAGCGGUUCCACAGUGCCCCCAUGUGGCCUACUGGGCAGUAAUCAAGAGAUUGCCUCUACUGUGAUAUGAGUCCUGGGGUAUGUUUAAAUUAGAAGCUAUUCUGGGGCACUUGGCUCAGUUGGUUAAGCAGCCGACCUGGGCUCAGGUCAUGAUCUCACGGUUUGUGAGUUCAAGCCCUGAGUUGGGUGCUGGGCUGACCGCUCAGAGCCUGGAGCCUGCUUCGUUUUCUGUGUCUUUCUCUCUCUGCCCCUCCCCUGCUCAUGCUCUGUCUCUGCCUCUUAACAAGAGGUAAAGGUUAAUAAAUUAGAAGCUAUUCCAUCCUUUGUCUAUUGCACUAUUUUUGUUUUCUGCCCCCACCCCCAGCAGACCAAAAAAAAAAAAAAAAAA